GAUGAAGAACGUAGCGAAAUGCGAUAAGUAGUGUGAAUUGCAGAAUUCAGUGAAUCAUCGAAUCUUUGAACGCACAUUGCGCCCCUUGGUAUUCCGAGGGGCAUGCCUGUUCGAGCGUCAUUAUAACCCUCAAGCUCAGCUUGGUGUUGGGGCCUGCUGCACUGGCAGCCCUUAAAAUCAGUGGCGGCGCCAUCUGGCUCUAAGCGUAGUAAUUCUUCUCGCUAUGGAGUCCUGGUGGACGCUUGCCAUCAACCCCCAAUUUUUCUAUGGUUGACCUCGGAUCAGGUAGGGAUACCCGCUGAACUUAAGCAUAUCAAUAAGCGGAGGA
RNAcentral lists this unclassified non-coding RNA (328 nucleotides) under soil metagenome. RNAcentral describes it as "partial contains 5.8S ribosomal RNA, internal transcribed spacer 2, and large subunit ribosomal RNA". The stretch from base 1 to 120 matches the Rfam family "5.8S ribosomal RNA", at positions 35 to 154 of the family's 154-position model. The record is from RNAcentral.